This 83-nucleotide transfer RNA is filed under the name Fusicatenibacter saccharivorans. Its description in RNAcentral is "tRNA-Leu". It matches the Rfam family "tRNA". From Rfam's summary of the family: Transfer RNA (tRNA) molecules are approximately 80 nucleotides in length. Their secondary structure includes four short double-helical elements and three loops (D, anti-codon, and T loops). Lineage: Bacteria; Bacillati; Bacillota; Clostridia; Lachnospirales; Lachnospiraceae. The record is from RNAcentral. RNAcentral also lists the same sequence under 2 other names.
GUGGAUGUGGCGUAAUUGGCAGACGCAGCAGAUUUAAGCUCUGCUAUCUUAAUGGUGUAUGGGUUCAAGUCCCAUCAUCCACA